Molecule: ribosomal RNA, 299 nt
Filed under: uncultured bacterium
Lineage: Bacteria
Description: partial 16S ribosomal RNA
Rfam family: Bacterial small subunit ribosomal RNA
Source: RNAcentral
CUAACUACGUGCCAGCAGCCGCGGUAAUACGUAGGUGGCAAGCGUUAUCCGGAUUUUAUUGGGACGUAAAGAGAGUGCAGGCGGUUUUCUAAGUCUGAUGUGAAAGCCUUCGGCUUAACCGGAGAAGUGCAUCGGAAACUGGAUAACUUGAGUGCAGAAGAGGGUAGUGGAACUCCAUGUGUAGCGGUGGAAUGCGUAGAUAUAUGGAAGAACACCAGUGGCGAAGGCGGCUACCUGGUCUGCAACUGACGCUGAGACUCGAAAGCAUGGGUAGCGAACAGGAUUAGAUACCCUGGUAG